RNAcentral lists this ribosomal RNA (1299 nucleotides) under Talaromyces pinophilus. RNAcentral's name for it is "SSU rRNA". It matches the Rfam family "Eukaryotic small subunit ribosomal RNA", at positions 46 to 1335 of the family's 1831-position model. The record is from RNAcentral. Lineage: Eukaryota; Fungi; Ascomycota; Eurotiomycetes; Eurotiales; Trichocomaceae.
AGACCCUGCAUGUCUAGUAUAAGCACUCUUUUACUGUGAAACUGCGAAUGGCUCAUUAAAUCAGUUAUCGUUUAUUUGAUAGUACCCUACUACAUGGAUACCUGUGGUAAUUCUAGAGCUAAUACAUGCGCAAAACCCCGACUUCGGAAGGGGUGUAUUUAUUAGAUAAAAAACCAAUGCCCUUCGGGGCUCCUUGGUGAUUCAUAAUAACUUCACGAAUCGCAUGGCCUUGCGCCGGCGAUGGUUCAUUCAAAUUUCUGCCCUAUCAACUUUCGAUGGUAGGAUAGUGGCCUACCAUGGUGGCAACGGGUAACGGGGAAUUAGGGUUCGAUUCCGGAGAGGGAGCCUGAGAAACGGCUACCACAUCCAAGGAAGGCAGCAGGCGCGCAAAUUACCCAAUCCCGAUACGGGGAGGUAGUGACAAUAAAUACUGAUACAGGGCUCUUUUGGGUCUUGUAAUUGGAAUGAGAACAAUCUAAAUCCCUUAACGAGGAACAAUUGGAGGGCAAGUCUGGUGCCAGCAGCCGCGGUAAUUCCAGCUCCAAUAGCGUAUAUUAAAGUUGUUGCAGUUAAAAAGCUCGUAGUUGAACCUUGGGCCCGUCCUGCCGGUCCGCCUCACCGCGAGUACUGGUCCGGAUGGGCCUUUCUUUCUGGGGAAUCCCAUGGCCUUCACUGGCUGUGGCGGGGAACCAGGACUUUUACUGUGAAAAAAUUAGAGUGUUCAAAGCAGGCCUUUGCUCGGAUACAUUAGCAUGGAAUAAUAGAAUAGGACGUGCGGUUCUAUUUUGUUGGUUUCUAGGACCGCCGUAAUGAUUAAUAGGGAUAGUCGGGGGCGUCAGUAUUCAGCUGUCAGAGGUGAAAUUCUUGGAUUUGCUGAAGACUAACUACUGCGAAAGCAUUCGCCAAGGAUGUUUUCAUUAAUCAGGGAACGAAAGUUAGGGGAUCGAAGACGAUCAGAUACCGUCGUAGUCUUAACCAUAAACUAUGCCGACUAGGGAUCGGGCGGGGUUUCUAUGAUGACCCGCUCGGCACCUUACGAGAAAUCAAAGUUUUUGGGUUCUGGGGGGGAGUAUGGUCGCAAGGCUGAAACUUAAAGAAAUUGACGGAAGGGCACCACAAGGCGUGGAACCCGGCGGCUUAAUUUGACUCCAACCCGGGGAAAAUUCCCCAGGGCCCAAACAAAAUAGGGAUUGGACAAAUUGAGAAACUCUUUCUUGGAACUUUUUGGAAGGGGGGGGCCUGGGCCGUCUCUAAUUUGUGGGGAAAGGAUAUUGUCCGGCUUUAAUUGCGUAAAACCAA